Patella vulgata (common limpet) is the source of this 1327-nucleotide long non-coding RNA. RefSeq lists it as uncharacterized. NCBI's taxonomy places the organism in Eukaryota, Metazoa, Mollusca, Gastropoda, Patellidae. The transcript is spliced from 6 exons. The record is from RefSeq and is a predicted model, not a curated record.
CACCGAGUCAGUUGAACUAUGGUUGAACAAACACGGUUGCUAACAUGGAGUAUUUUUCGGAAGAGUUCAAAGAAUUUAUUCAUAACUAUUUAGAAAUUGCUUUCGCGUUCUUGGCUGGUUCAGCCCUAACGUACUUUGUCAUGUGUAAGAAAUUAACUGGAAAAAGACGAAAAAAUGAUUUCCCUAAAGAUGUUGUGAUUGUUCAUGGUUUCGGGAGAGGACCCUACUGUCCAAGUCUAUGUGGUUUUUGUCUUAAAAUUGAAACUUACCUGAGGAUAAAUAAAAUACCAUAUAAGUGUGGUAAAGAUCUUAAGGAAGGCUAUUUACCUUGGACUGAAUAUAAUGGCGAGGUUGUCCAAUAUUUUCAAAGGCCGUUAUACACUAAUGUAGACAGAAUUUUAACAGAUGAAGAAAAAGCUAUAUGCAGAGCCUUUCAAAUAAUGAUAGAGGAAAAUCUUACAUGGUGUGUAGCACUAUCUAGAUGGGUUUAUGGCUAUACAGACAAUAGUUGGACAGGUGUCAAUUGGCUUCAACGUAAAUUGGCUGGACUAUCUGCUUCCAGGAAAGCCCGGGUGGUUGGUAUUGGUAGACAAACUCAGUCAGAAGUUGAACACAUUUUGGAAGAUAACAUGAAAGCCUUGUCUGAUUUUCUAAGUAAAAAAGAUUUUAUGAUGGGAAGUAAGCCUACAGAAAUAGAUUGUAUAGCAUUUGGUAUAUUAGCACAAAUUUUGUGGCACAGUCCUCAACAACCGUGUGAAAAAUGGAUAAAUGAAAAAUAUCUCAAUUUAAAGAACUACUGCCUUCGGAUGAAGGAAUUAUAUUGGAAAGAUUGGGAUGAAUGUAUUACACAUGGUGGUACAAGGGAGGCUACUCGUUAAUGGAUUAUGGAUACAGACCACAACAAUGUAGUCAUAGAUUGUUCUUGAGGGGAACUACGAUAUAAAGAUCAAGUCAUUGAAUCAGUGCCGGAUUAACCUUGUGGGGGGCCCAGGACAUACCAACUGUGCGGGGGCCCCAUUGUUGUUUGUUCAAAUUGGUCGUACUGACCGCGGAUCGUACUAGUAUGUACUCCACCCCCUUGAGUGCCUGGGGUGUUUUCCUCCAGGAAUUUUUUUGUUUAAAUUAGGAUUAAUUUCAGUGCAUCUGAGACAAUUUAGGCAGCGAUUUCAUUGACGUUUAGAAUUCGUUGACAAUUUGAUUAUUUUAAACAGACUCUUUAUCUUAUGAUGUUUUCAUUUACUUGUGGGGGGGGCCCUAAAUGUGGGGGGCCCGGGACAUUUGUCCCACUUUGCCCCCCCCCCCCCGAUCCGGUACUUCAUUGAAUACC